UUAUCGUUGUCUCCGUUCCUCAUCAUCAUUAUCAGCAGCAUCGCCACAAGACACGCAUCCACGCCAUUUUUGUUACUGCCCUGCUAGCUAAGAACCCACGGAGCAAACAUGAGAUACAUCGCGGUGGCAUUCCUGCUGUCGAUCCUUCUCUUUGACGUUGUUGUCGGCGAUGGAGCGAAGGAACAAGACCGAGACAAACGGUCCGUUGAUCAGGCCGGCAACCGGGCCAGGCGUGCGCUCCGUUCCCCUCAUCAGGGGCUGAUCAACCCGGCCGACCUGGGCAUGCGACUCAGCCGUCGAUCCGACCCGUUCCGCCGGGCACUGAGAACGAAGCGGUACCGGAGAAUGGCCGAAGACCCGGAGAUGUACAAGCGGGGAAUGUCUGGAGGGAAACAUAUCCGGGUCAAGAAGGCAAACAAGGCUUAAUAAUUGAUUGUGAUCUCAGAAAGCACAAGAAUGUGAUGCUAGGCGGGGAGAUGGCUAUGGGCGCAGAGAAAUUAACAUGAAGACGGCAAGAAAAUAAAACAAGCGAAGGAUAGGUUUACACUUCAAAAUUUCAGUCAAUUAUCGACGACAAACUCACAAUAGAUAGUUCACGCAGGUAACCCCUUCAGUUUUAAUCAUUGUGACUAUAAGAAAGUUAGAAUACCGUGCACUUGAAUGCUUUUAACUGAAAAUUAAAUAAUUCCACGCACAAAUUCACAGUUCUUGCCAUUUAUGUUCUUCAAAAUGAAAAAAAGGGUCAAUUGAAAAUGAACGGGUUGUAUGCACUUUGUCUUUCAGUACCAUAUUCUAUAAAACUGAAAGAAAAAUUUAAAAAAAUGUAAAUAUUAACAUUUUUAUCUAUUGUUCUAUGUGAUUAGUAAUGCACGAAGUGGCGUAACCAGGUUUUAAAACACAAUCGAUAAAGAGAAAUGCACUCCAAUUAACUUGCACUUUAAAUAUGUAUCAAGAGUUAAACCCCUUGUUUUAUGACUUCAGACAAGAAUGUUUAUGUGUGCAAAUUUUGAACCAAAAAAAAAACCUUUCAAUGCAAAUACUGGAGUCCACGCCCCCAUGUUUAAUAUUGAAAAUGUAUAAAGAAACACACAACUUUGCUAGAUAUGCCACUGUUGAUUAUAAGCUUGCACUGAAAACUAUAAUGCACUUUGCGCCCUUUCACUGUAGGUCUUGUUGUAGCGAUCGGCAUCUUUCAAGUUAUGGUAUUUGUGCAAUAUUCCACCGCAAGAAAAUUGAGUGUAUUACGUCAAAACGAAGAUUGGUAUUAAAAUUACGGAGUUGGCCAUGGGUUUUGUAGGGUGGUUCAAAAUGAAAAUUAUGAACAGUUUUGUGGAUGAAAAUCAAAGGUUAUGAAAGAGACGUCCGUCACGUAAUCCUUGGAUAAGCAUGUAUAUUAUCUCAGUUUCAAAUUGAUAGUAUGUUUUCAACAAAAAGUAAAAUAUAAGUAUGUUAUAAAUUUCUAUUUUGUGUUCAAAGAUUGUCCAUCAAAUUAUUGUAUGAAUUGUAUUAUCAUUUUGUUUUACACCUACGAUUUAUCGACACCAAAAACCUUAUUUAUUAUCAAUUUUGUUGUUGAAGCUUUAUUAACAUUUAUUGGUCUUAUUGGUAUAACGAACUACAUGUAGUUACAUUUUCAACGUAACAGUGUUUUACGAAACAAAAAUGACACAAGCGGCAAAGAUUGGUUUGAGAAGCGAUCUAAAGAGACAUUUAGUUUCGAUUUCCAUGGGUGCAGAAUAAACUGUUCAAAUUACAUAACCUUAACAUUCAUUUCAUUUUUUUUCUUCUGGUUUUAAAACAAAGUCUGAAGACCAAAGUUAUACAUUUAACAGCUGCAAUGCCAACUAUUCAUUUUUUAUUAAAACAAAAUCACGUUUAUAUUAAACAAAGUUAAAUCGACUCGAAAUCAACAUUUCGAGUGAAUUUCAAAACUGAAAUAUUUCAAAACCUUGGAAUAUUUCUUUAUUCAAUAAGGCAAAAGCAGUUAAACUAUUGCAAAAGUAUAAAUUUGGAAACUGGGGGAAAAUGAAACAAAUUUGGUUUUAACUUGUAACAAUAUGUAUGCUCUUUAAAGCUAGAAUUGCACAAUACGCUUGAAGCAGGAACGGUAAAUUUGGAAAAUAUUUAUAAUAAAUAGUUAAAUACCUUGAAAUUUAUUGGAAUAUUUAAACAGUAACUAAACUAUUUAAUUUAGAUACAACUUUUAUAAACUGUAAACAGGAACUACAAUAAAAAUUAUCUUUUAGACCCGCUUUACCAAAUGUAGUCUGAAAUAGGAAUUUAACUAGGUCUAUUGUACGAAAAACAAAUAAAAGCUUCUGUGUAUCAAAUUUCAAAUUCAGAGGGUGCAUUUCAUUUGUUUCUGUUUGAAA
RNAcentral lists this long non-coding RNA (2372 nucleotides) under Patiria miniata (bat star). Its description in RNAcentral is "uncharacterized LOC119738624". Lineage: Eukaryota; Metazoa; Echinodermata; Asteroidea; Valvatida; Asterinidae. The record is from RNAcentral.